Molecule: ribosomal RNA, 253 nt
Filed under: uncultured bacterium
Lineage: Bacteria
Description: partial 16S ribosomal RNA
Rfam family: Bacterial small subunit ribosomal RNA
Source: RNAcentral
UACGUAGGGGGCAAGCGUUGUUCGGAAUUACUGGGCGUAAAGGGCUCGUAGGCGGCCAACUAAGUCAGACGUGAAAUCCCUCGGCUUAACCGGGGAACUGCGUCUGAUACUGGAUGGCUAGAGGUUGGGAGAGGGAUGCGGAAUUCCAGGUGUAGCGGUGAAAUGCGUAGAUAUCUGGAGGAACACCGGUGGCGAAGGCGGCAUCCUGGACCAAUUCUGACGCUGAGGAGCGAAAGCCAGGGGAGCAAACGGG